RNAcentral lists this ribosomal RNA (242 nucleotides) under uncultured bacterium. Its description in RNAcentral is "partial 16S ribosomal RNA". It matches the Rfam family "Bacterial small subunit ribosomal RNA", at positions 68 to 334 of the family's 1533-position model. The record is from RNAcentral.
GGAGGUCUUCGGACUUCAGUGGCGGACGGGUGAGUAACGCGUAGGGAUCUAUCCACGGGUGGGGGAUAACUCCGGGAAACUGGAGCUAAUACCGCAUGAUACCUGAGGGUCAAAGGCGCAAGUCGCCUGUGGAGGAGCCUGCGUUCGAUUAGCUUGUUGGUGGGGUAAAGGCCUACCAAGGCGAUGAUCGAUAGCUGGUCUGAGAGGAUGAUCAGCCACACUGGGACUGAGACACGGCCCAG